UAGGGAAUCUUCGGCAAUGGGGGCAACCCUGACCGAGCAACGCCGCGUGAGUGAAGAAGGUUUUCGGAUCGUAAAGCUCUGUUGUAAGUCAAGAACGGGUGUGAGAGUGGAAAGUUCACACUGUGACGGUAGCUUACCAGAAAGGGACGGCUAACUACGUGCCAGCAGCCGCGGUAAUACGUAGGUCCCGAGCGUUGUCCGGAUUUAUUGGGCGUAAAGCGAGCGCAGGCGGUUUGAUAAGUCUGAAGUUAAAGGCUGUGGCUCAACCAUAGUUCGCUUUGGAAACUGUCAAACUUGAGUGCAGAAGGGGAGAGUGGAAUUCCAUGUGUAGCGGUGAAAUGCGUAGAUAUAUGGAGGAACACCGGUGGCGAAAGCGGCUCUCUGGUCUGUAACUGACGCUGAGGCUCGAAAGCGUGGGGAGCGAACAGGAUUAGAUACCCUGGUAGUCCACGCCGUAAACGAUGAGUGCUAGGUGUUGGAUCCUUUCCGGGAUUCAGUGCCGCAGCUAACGCAUUAAGCACUCCGCCU
This 528-nucleotide ribosomal RNA is filed under the name uncultured bacterium. RNAcentral describes it as "partial 16S ribosomal RNA". It matches the Rfam family "Bacterial small subunit ribosomal RNA", at positions 355 to 874 of the family's 1533-position model. The record is from RNAcentral.